GUUUUCAUAGUGUAAAUUAACAUAUUAUAUUUUCAUUAUAAAGCUGAAUUUUUAUUCUGAAAACU
Molecule: transfer RNA, 65 nt
Filed under: Macromedaeus distinguendus
Lineage: Eukaryota; Metazoa; Arthropoda; Malacostraca; Decapoda; Xanthidae
Description: tRNA-Glu
Source: RNAcentral